Molecule: ribosomal RNA, 774 nt
Filed under: uncultured Neocallimastigales
Lineage: Eukaryota; Fungi; Neocallimastigomycota; Neocallimastigomycetes; Neocallimastigales
Description: partial large subunit ribosomal RNA
Rfam family: Eukaryotic large subunit ribosomal RNA
Source: RNAcentral
UAUGUGAUCGUCUCUUGCAUAUCAAUAAGCGGAGGAAAAGAAACUAACUAGGAUUCCCCUAGUAACGGCGAGUGAAGCGGGAAGAGCUCAAAUUUGAAAUCUUAAAGGGUUUCCCUUUACGAAUUGUAGUUUAAAGAAGUGUUUUCUGUUGAGGUUUUGGUAAAAGUUCUUUGGAAUAGGACAUCAUAGAGGGUGAGAAUCCCGUAUUUGACCUUUACUUUCAACUUUGUGAUACACUUUCAAAGAGUCGGAUUGUUUGGGAAUGCAGUCCAAAAUGGGUGGUAAAUUUCAUCUAAAGCUAAAUAUUGGCGAGAGACCGAUAGCGAACAAGUACCGUGAGGGAAAGAUGAAAAGAACUUUGAAAAGAGAGUUAAACAGUACGUGAAAUUGUCAAAAGGGAAGCGUUUGACACCAGUGUUGUUUUUCUGAAAAUCAAUUAAAGAACUGUUUAUGCUAAGCUGUUUAGACUUUAUCAGCUAUCUGUUUAGUUUUGAGCUUUUCUUUAAUGCACUUUUCAGUUAACAAGUCAACAUCAAUUUCUUUUGCUGUAAAAAAGCUUGAGGAAGGUGGCUUGAGAUUCGUCUUAAGUGUUUAUAGCCUCUCGCCUAUGCAGUCGGAGAGAUUGAGGUCUGCAGCGUAGAUCCUUCGGGGCUAAAUGCAUUUGUGCUAAGUUAUAGCAUUUUAUAGACAACUUGUUGACUAUGAUUUGUCUUGUAGCUUACUCGCUUAUGUUAUUUUACCUACGCUUAGGAUGUUGAUCUACAGAGCGAGAGU